RNAcentral lists this ribosomal RNA (135 nucleotides) under uncultured bacterium. RNAcentral describes it as "partial 16S ribosomal RNA". It matches the Rfam family "Bacterial small subunit ribosomal RNA", at positions 1358 to 1500 of the family's 1533-position model. The record is from RNAcentral.
CGCGGUGAAUACGUUCCCGGGCCUUGUACACACCGCCCGUCAAGCCAUGGGAGCCGGGGGUGGCCUGAAGUUCGUGACCGCAAGGAGCGACCUAGGGCAAAACUGGUGACUGGGGCUAAGUCGUAACAAGGUAGC